GGUUGCUCCUCUUUUUUGUUUUAUUCCAUUCUUUUUUCUGCCAUGUUCGACCAGCAGCGGCGAGAUAGGGGUUGAUUUAUGUUUUGUGAUAUUUGGAAUCACGACGGUUGGCCGCUGGUGAUGGAGAUUAGGAAACCGAUCUAAAUCGUUAGUAGUCGAAAAGGACUGACAUCGAUAAACAUCUUUACAACUUGUUCAUCGAGCAUUCUUUCAAUUUCCAUUUAAGUAAGUAUCCACUAACUAUGCCUAAGUUAUAUUUUCUUUCAGUUAUCGCAAUGAGUAUCUUACAAUGCUUUAUAACUCCUUGCAAAUGACGCAGAUAUAAAUUCUGCAUCUUAUUAAGUAAACUUGGUUCUCAAACAAGAGUUUAAGAUUUGGUGUAAAGAUAACAAAAUAUCCAAUUCUUCGUUU
Long non-coding RNA from Zingiber officinale, 411 nucleotides. RefSeq lists it as uncharacterized. The record is from RefSeq and is a predicted model, not a curated record. The transcript is spliced from 3 exons. Lineage: Eukaryota; Viridiplantae; Streptophyta; Magnoliopsida; Zingiberales; Zingiberaceae.